RNAcentral lists this small RNA (172 nucleotides) under Chelonoidis abingdonii (Abingdon island giant tortoise). Its description in RNAcentral is "TUC338 (ENSCABG00000022562.1)". Lineage: Eukaryota; Metazoa; Chordata; Testudines; Testudinidae. The record is from RNAcentral.
UUGACAGCCCUGGAGACUGAACUCUUUUAUUUAUUUAUACAAAAGGUACAGCACAGGCAGCAGUAGUGCAAACUUCUCCAUACUGGCCUAACAAAGUUUCUUAACCAUGUGACCUAAAGGGCUCCACCCCAAAGGAGAAUUCAGCUUCAUGCCUAUUGAAUCCUUGAUCUUU